This 253-nucleotide ribosomal RNA is filed under the name uncultured bacterium. Its description in RNAcentral is "partial 16S ribosomal RNA". It matches the Rfam family "Bacterial small subunit ribosomal RNA", at positions 524 to 776 of the family's 1533-position model. The record is from RNAcentral.
UACGUAGGGUGCGAGCGUUAAUCGGAAUUACUGGGCGUAAAGCGUGCGCAGGCGGUUGGUUAAGUCUGAUGUGAAAGCCCCGGGCUCAACCUGGGAAUGGCAUUGGAAACUGGCUGGCUAGAGUGUGGCAGAGGGGGGUGGAAUUCCGCGUGUAGCAGUGAAAUGCGUAGAUAUCCGGAGGAACACCGGUGGCGAAGGCGGCUUCCUGGACCGACACUGACGCUGAGGCGCGAAAGCUAGGGGAGCAAACGGG